GAUGAACGCUAGCUACAGGCUUAACACAUGCAAGUCGAGGGGUAACGAGAGGGAAGCUUGCUUUCCUUGUCGACGACCGGCGCACGGGUGAGUAACGCGUAUCCAACCUGCCCCCAACUAGGGAAUAACCUUGCGAAAGUAAGACUAAUACCCUAUAAUCUCCUCAGAUGUCAUCUGACGAGGAAUAAAGAUUUAUCGGUUGUGGAUGGGGAUGCGUCUGAUUAGCUUGUUGGCGGGGUAACGGCCCACCAAGGCAACGAUCAGUAGGGGUUCUGCGAGGAAGGUCCCCCACAAUGGAACUGAGACACGGUACAAACUCCUACGGGAGGCAGCAGUGAGGAAUAUUGGUCAAUGGGCGGAAGCCUGAACCAGCCAAGUAGCGUGCAGGAUGACGGCCCUAUGGGUUGUAAACUGCUUUUAUACAGGAAUAAAGUUAGCCACGUGUGGUUAUUUGUAGGUACUGUAUGAAUAAGGACCGGCUAAUUCCGUGCCAGCCGCCGCCGUAA
This 506-nucleotide ribosomal RNA is filed under the name uncultured bacterium. RNAcentral describes it as "partial 16S ribosomal RNA". It matches the Rfam family "Bacterial small subunit ribosomal RNA", at positions 28 to 523 of the family's 1533-position model. The record is from RNAcentral.